Non-coding RNA from Cinara cedri, 251 nucleotides. Lineage: Eukaryota; Metazoa; Arthropoda; Insecta; Hemiptera; Aphididae. The record is from the annotation of a GenBank genome assembly.
AUACAAAGUUCGAUUUAUUAUAUUUUAACUUGCGUGGCUUCAUUAAGUAUGGUAAUUUUCUUGUUAAUUAUAUUUAAAAAUUUACUAUAUAUAUUUAUAAGUAGGUACUCGAAUAAUGCAUUCCCCUACACCCCUACUUUCCCCGACGGUGGCUUUUAGGCUGAACACCGUGCAGCACUUAAAUUUAACUUGACAAUUAAAUAUCCUUGAAAUUAAUACGUCGUAAAGGUAUAUUAUAUGUAUGUGCAGAU